Molecule: ribosomal RNA, 434 nt
Filed under: uncultured Ruminococcus sp.
Lineage: Bacteria; Bacillati; Bacillota; Clostridia; Eubacteriales; Oscillospiraceae
Description: partial 16S ribosomal RNA
Rfam family: Bacterial small subunit ribosomal RNA
Source: RNAcentral
ACGGAAGGCAGCAGUGGGGAAUAUUGCACAAUGGGCGCAAGCCUGAUGCAGCGAUGCCGCGUGAGGGAAGAAGGUUUUCGGAUUGUAAACCUCUGUCAUCGGGGACGAUAAUGACUGUACCCGAGAAGGAAGCUCCGGCUAACUACGUGCCAGCAGCCGCGGUAAUACGUAGGGAGCGAGCGUUAUCCGGAUUUAUUGGGUUUAAAGGGUGCGUAGGCGGCCCCUUAAGUCGGCGGUGAAAUUUCCGGGCUCAACCCGGUCACUGCCGUCGAAACUGGGGGGCUUGAGUGCGUUUGGGGUGGCUGGAAUGUGCGGUGUAGCGGUGAAAUGCAUAGAUAUCGCACAGAACGCCGAUCGCGGAGGCAGGUCACCAAGCCGCAACUGACGCUGAGGCACGAAAGCGCGGGGAUCGAACAGGAUUAGAUACCCUGGUA